AUUGAACGCUGGCGGCAUGCCUUACACAUGCAAGUCGAACGGUAACAGGUUAAGCUGACGAGUGGCGAACGGGUGAGUAAUGUAUCGGAACGUGCCCAGUCGUGGGGGAUAACUGCUCGAAAGAGCAGCUAAUACCGCAUACGACCUGAGGGUGAAAGCGGGGGAUCGCAAGACCUCGCGCGAUUGGAGCGGCCGAUAUCAGAUUAGGUAGUUGGUGAGGUAAAGGCCCACCAAGCCGACGAUCUGUAGCUGGUCUGAGAGGACGACCAGCCACACUGGGACUGAGACACGGCCCAGACUCCUACGGGAGGCAGCAGUGGGGAAUUUUGGACAAUGGGCGCAAGCCUGAUCCAGCCAUGCCGCGUGCGGGAAGAAGGCCUUCGGGUUGUAAACCGCUUUUGUCAGGGAAGAAAAGGUUCUGGCUAAUACCUGGGACUCAUGACGGUACCUGAAGAAUAAGCACCGGCUAACUACGUGC
This 478-nucleotide ribosomal RNA is filed under the name uncultured bacterium. Its description in RNAcentral is "partial 16S ribosomal RNA". It matches the Rfam family "Bacterial small subunit ribosomal RNA", at positions 30 to 508 of the family's 1533-position model. The record is from RNAcentral.